RNAcentral lists this ribosomal RNA (468 nucleotides) under uncultured bacterium. RNAcentral describes it as "partial 16S ribosomal RNA". It matches the Rfam family "Bacterial small subunit ribosomal RNA", at positions 28 to 507 of the family's 1533-position model. The record is from RNAcentral.
GACGAACGCUGGCGGCGUGCUUAACACAUGCAAGUCGAACGGAAAGGCCCUGCUUUUGUGGGGUGCUCGAGUGGCGAACGGGUGAGUAACACGUGAGUAACCUGCCCUUGACUUUGGGAUAACUUCAGGAAACUGGGGCUAAUACCGGAUAGGAGCUCCUGCUGCAUGGUGGGGGUUGGAAAGUUUCGGCGGUUGGGGAUGGACUCGCGGCUUAUCAGCUUGUUGGUGGGGUAGUGGCUUACCAAGGCUUUGACGGGUAGCCGGCCUGAGAGGGUGACCGGCAACAUUGGGACUGAGAUACGGCCAAGACUCCUACGGGAGGAAGCAGGGGGGAAUAUUGAACAAUGGGCGGGAGCCUGAUGCAGCAACGCCGCGUGCGGGAUGACGGCCUUCGGGUUGUAAACCGCUUUCGCCUGUGACGAAGCGUGAGUGACGGUAAUGGGUAAAGAAGCACCGGCUAACUACGUG